CUGGCUGUAGCGCAGUCUGGUAGCGUGUUUGCUUGGGGUGCAAAAGGUCGAAAGUUCAAAUCUUUCCAGUCAGACCA
RNAcentral lists this transfer RNA (77 nucleotides) under Candidatus Cloacimonadota bacterium. RNAcentral describes it as "tRNA-Pro". It matches the Rfam family "tRNA". Rfam says of the family: Transfer RNA (tRNA) molecules are approximately 80 nucleotides in length. Their secondary structure includes four short double-helical elements and three loops (D, anti-codon, and T loops). Further hydrogen bonds mediate the characteristic L-shaped molecular structure. tRNAs have two regions of fundamental functional importance: the anti-codon, which is responsible for specific mRNA codon recognition, and the 3' end, to which the tRNAs corresponding amino acid is attached (by aminoacyl-tRNA synthetases). tRNAs cope with the degeneracy of the genetic code in two manners: having more than one tRNA (with a specific anti-codon) for a particular amino acid; and 'wobble' base-pairing, i.e. permitting non-standard base-pairing at the 3rd anti-codon position. Lineage: Bacteria; Pseudomonadati; Candidatus Cloacimonadota. The record is from RNAcentral.